This is a small RNA of Enterococcus faecalis V583, 176 nucleotides long. It matches the Rfam family "Listeria sRNA rli28". The record is from Rfam. Lineage: Bacteria; Bacillati; Bacillota; Bacilli; Lactobacillales; Enterococcaceae.
AUACUAAAGCUAUUACCAAUGAAAGUUGUAUGACGGUGGCUCUGAGUUAGAGAGGCAGGUGAUGCCUAUGUGUAUCCGAUGCACUUUAACGAAAGGAGCAUUUUUUUGUCAAUCGAAGCGGCAUUGGAAUUGAUGAUUAGUUUUGCAGCGUUUGUUGCACUACUGAUUUUCGGUAU